GCGGCAGAGUUCAAGCAGCUUCAGUCAGAUUUCUGGGACUCCUGAAACUCUAAAUGUUUUCACAGUAACACAUGAAAAGCAAGAGCAAAAAGAGAAAUGUGGUGCUGCUCACAGCUUUUCUGAAGCCAGCAGUGUGGAUCCGGCUGUUGGUCUGGAGAUGUUUUCCCAGACUGAAAACUCACACCUGCCUAAGGACUGUUUUGGAGAAAAUUGUGGUAAAUGUUUCCCAUGUUGUGUAGUGGAUAUCACCAAGUUUCCAGGCAGAAAUUGGUGGAACUUGAGGAAAACCUGCUACAGAAUUGUUAACCAUAGCGGGUUUGAGUAUUUUAUGGUUUUUGUGAUAGUAUUGAGCAGUGCA
Neopelma chrysocephalum (saffron-crested tyrant-manakin) is the source of this 358-nucleotide long non-coding RNA. RefSeq lists it as uncharacterized. The record is from RefSeq and is a predicted model, not a curated record. The transcript has 3 exons. Lineage: Eukaryota; Metazoa; Chordata; Aves; Passeriformes; Pipridae.